CAGGGCAAUUUUUAGGUCUAUCAAUAAACUAAGACGUUUCAGCCUUUAUGUGAUAUAUGGCUACGUUCCUAUAGCCAUUUCUAUUUAUUUCCUAACCGUGUAUUAUAGUUCUGUCACUUUUGGCUACGUUCCUAUAGCCGUUUCUUGAACUUCUGGCUAUGUUCAUCUAGCCUUUUUUAUGCAUGGUGUUCUAGAGUUGAGGUGAGCUGUAAUUGUUAGUAUUACUACUAAUAUGUUUUGUUUACAGGAAAAUUGCUUACCAAGUGGAUCAUGGGACAUGGACUGAAAAGACUGGAUAUGAUUUUCCAGCUUUGCCACGUCAGACAAGAGGGAAUGAUUGUGGUGUUUUUGUACUCUUGGUAAGAUAUAAAUUAAGUUAAUUGAUUUAAAGAUUUUGUAAACAUUGUAAAUGACUGUGGCUUCUCUCUUUUCAGUACACCCUCUCAAUGGUGUGUGGCAUUGGGUUUCAAUUCCAGGAGAUGGAUAUGCCUAUCAUCCGUCAGUGGUGGUGCCUUCUACUCAUGGAACGAUUUCAAAUUGAUGGGAUAUACUCGGUGGGAAAAGGUCAAAUUGGUUUCCACUAAAACCCCGUUCUCAAGUGCCUGUCUACAUUGAGAAUGAGCAGUCCCAGUCAAUCAUUUGUGACUACAUCAGAGGAAUUCUUAAUAAAACCAAAACACAGCUGACCUUCAAUGAUGAGGUGGAGUUCAUUUGUGGAUGUCUCCUCCCAGAGGCCAUAACUCAUGGCAUUUCCGAGUUACAAGGCUUGUCUUGGCAGGAGGCUGAAGAUGUCUUCCUCCAGGGCCCCAUUUAUCACGCAAGUGAAGUUGAGGAAUUUAACAGAAGAAUUGCUCGAGAAAUGAAAAAUCUCCCCAACAAGAAUCUCGAUGACUUGUAGGACCUCAUGAAAAUUUAUAAAAAAAUAAAGUUUGGUGUGAGAAAAUUACUCCGAGUACUAUCAUUUAUUCUGUGAAUAAUAAGAUAAUGUUCAUUCCCUCAACUCAAUACUAAAGAGUUUGAUAAAUCCUUAAUGAUUUAAAAACAAAAAACAACAACAAAAACAAUAAAUGACUGAAAAUAU
Molecule: non-coding RNA, 1081 nt
Organism: Danio rerio (zebrafish)
Lineage: Eukaryota; Metazoa; Chordata; Actinopteri; Cypriniformes; Danionidae
Source: RefSeq, a predicted model, not a curated record